RNAcentral lists this ribosomal RNA (433 nucleotides) under uncultured bacterium. Its description in RNAcentral is "partial 16S ribosomal RNA". It matches the Rfam family "Bacterial small subunit ribosomal RNA", at positions 29 to 507 of the family's 1533-position model. The record is from RNAcentral.
AACGAACGCUGGCGGCAGGCCUAACACAUGCAAGUCGAGCGAGGACUUCGGUUCUAGCGGCGGACGGGUGAGUAACGCGUGGGAAUGUGCCCUUCUCUACGGAAUAGCCCUGGGAAACUGGGAGUAAUACCGUAUACGCCCUAUUGGGGAAAGAUUUAUCGGAGAAGGAUCAGCCCGCGUUGGAUUAGGUAGUUGGUGGGGUAAUGGCCUACCAAGCCGACGAUCCAUAGCUGGUUUGAGAGGAUGAUCAGCCACACUGGGACUGAGACACGGCCCAGACUCCUACGGGAGGCAGCAGUGGGGAAUCUUAGACAAUGGGGGCAACCCUGAUCUACCCAUGCCGCGUGAGUGAUGAAGGCCUUAGGGUUGUAAAGCUCUUUCAGCUGGGAAGAUAAUGACGGUACCAUCAGAAGAAGCCCCGGCUAACUCCGUG